Marinobacter sp. BSs20148 is the source of this 73-nucleotide transfer RNA. It matches the Rfam family "tRNA". From Rfam's summary of the family: Transfer RNA (tRNA) molecules are approximately 80 nucleotides in length. Their secondary structure includes four short double-helical elements and three loops (D, anti-codon, and T loops). The record is from Rfam. Lineage: Bacteria; Pseudomonadati; Pseudomonadota; Gammaproteobacteria; Pseudomonadales; Marinobacteraceae.
GCGGGAAUAGCUCAGUUGGUAGAGCGCAACCUUGCCAAGGUUGAGGUCGCGAGUUCGAAUCUCGUUUCCCGCU